RNAcentral lists this ribosomal RNA (562 nucleotides) under uncultured bacterium. RNAcentral's name for it is "bacterial SSU rRNA". It matches the Rfam family "Bacterial small subunit ribosomal RNA", at positions 338 to 916 of the family's 1533-position model. The record is from RNAcentral.
CCUACGGGAGGCAGCAGUGGGGAAUCUUGCGCAAUGGGCGAAAGCCUGACGCAGCAACGCCGCGUGCGGGAAGAAGGCUUUCGGGCUGUAAACCGCUUUCAGCAGGAACGAAAAUGACGGUACCUGCAGAAGAAGGAGCGGCCAACUAUGUGCCAGCAGCCGCGGUGAUACAUAGGCUUCAAGCGUUGUCCGGAUUUAUUGGGCGUAAAGAGUUCGUAGGCGGUCAAGUAAGUCGGGUGUGAAAAUUCUGGGCUCAACCCAGAGACGCCACCCGAUACUGCUUAACUUGGGUUCGAUAGGGGAGUGGGGAAUUCCUAGUGUAGCGGUGAAAUGCGCAGAUAUUAGGAGGAACACCGGUGGCGAAGGCGCCACUCUGGAUCGAUACUGACGCUGAGGAACGAAAGCAUGGGUAGCAAACAGGAUUAGAUACCCUGGUAGUCCAUGCCGUAAACGGUGGGCACUAGGUGUGGGUUUCUAUUAACGAAAUCCGCGCCGUCGCUAACGCAUUAAGUGCCCCGCCUGGGGAGUACGGUCGCAAGCUAAAACUCAAAUGAAUUGACGG